GAUGAACGCUGGCGGCGUGCCUAAUACAUGCAAGUCGAGCGAACAGACGAGGAGCUUGCUCCUCUGACGUUAGCGGCGGACGGGUGAGUAACACGUGGAUAACCUACCUAUAAGACUGGGAUAACUUCGGGAAACCGGAGCUAAUACCAGAUAAUAUAUUGAACCGCAUGGAUCAAUAGUGAAAGACGGUUUUGCUGUCACUUAUAGAUGGAUCCGCGCCGCAUUAGCUAGUUGGUAAGGUAACGGCUUACCAAGGCAAAGAUGCGUAACCGACCUGAGAGGGUGAUCGGCCACACUGGAACUGAGACACGGUUCAGACCACUACGGAAGGCAGCAGUAGGGAAUCUUCCGAAACGGACGAAAGUCUGACGGAGCACCGCCGCGUGUGUGAUGAAGGUCUUCGGAUCGUAAAACUCUGUUAUUAGGGAAGAACAACUGUUUCAGUAACUAUGCACGUCUUGAAGGUACCUAAUCAGAAAGCAACGGCUAACUACGUG
This 497-nucleotide ribosomal RNA is filed under the name uncultured bacterium. Its description in RNAcentral is "partial 16S ribosomal RNA". It matches the Rfam family "Bacterial small subunit ribosomal RNA", at positions 28 to 507 of the family's 1533-position model. The record is from RNAcentral.